RNAcentral lists this ribosomal RNA (904 nucleotides) under Gammaproteobacteria bacterium. Its description in RNAcentral is "partial 23S ribosomal RNA". It matches the Rfam family "Bacterial large subunit ribosomal RNA", at positions 1 to 883 of the family's 2925-position model. The record is from RNAcentral. Lineage: Bacteria; Pseudomonadati; Pseudomonadota; Gammaproteobacteria.
GGUCAAGCAAUGAAGCGCACUUGGUGGAUGCCUUGGCAACUAGAGGCGAUGAAGGACGUCGUAGCCUGCGAAAAGCUUCGGGGAGUCGGCUAGCAGACUUUGAUCCGGAGAUGUCCGAAUGGGGAAACCCACCCGACUUGUCGGGUAUCCUCACCUGAAUACAUAGGGUGUGGAAGCAAACCCGGGGAACUGAAAUAUCUAAGUACCCGGAGGAAAAGAAAUCAAUCGAGAUUUCCUUAGUAGCGACGAGCGAACGGGAAUCAGCCCUUAAGCAGGUUGGAACAUAUUAAUGUUGAAGUUAGCAGAAGUGUCUGGAAAGGCACACCAUAGCGGGUGAUAGUCCCGUAUGCGAAAACUGCCAAUCAGUGAAAUCGAGUAGGGCGGGACACGUGAAAUCCUGUCUGAACAGCAUCGCGCUUCGGCGCGGUGCGAGGGGGGACCAUCCUCCAAGGCUAAAUACUCCUAGUUGACCGAUAGCGAACCAGUACCGUGAGGGAAAGGCGAAAAGAACCCCGGAAGGGGAGUGAAAUAGAACCUGAAACCGGGUGCGUACAAGCAGUGGGAGCCCUUGAUGUCCCGUUUGUUUCUUCGGAAACACCUUUGGGACGAAUAAGGGUGACUGCGUACCUUUUGUAUAAUGGGUCAGCGAGUUGCUGUUAGUGGCAAGGUUAACCGUGUAGGGGAGCCGUAGGGAAACCGAGUCUUAAUAGGGCGAAUGAGUCGCUAGGAGCAGACCCGAAACCGGGCGAGCUAGCCAUGGCCAGGGUGAAGGUUCGGUAACACGAACUGGAGGCCCGAACCCACCUAUGUUGAAAAAUGGGGGGAUGAGCUGUGGCUCGGAGUGAAAGGCUAAUCAAGCCCGGAGAUAGCUGGUUCUCCUCGAAAACUAUUUAGGUAGUGCCUC